GGGGCAACUUCUUCUCCCGCACUCGUGCGAGUAGUCCACGACCGGCUGUCGGUGCGCUAAGCCCUGGCCCGUACCCUCGAGGGAAGCGAUUCUGCAGAGACCGGGCCCCCCGGCGAUGGCGGCACCAGAUCACACCGCCGCUGCACACCCACCGCGCU
This 158-nucleotide signal recognition particle RNA is filed under the name Histoplasma capsulatum. The stretch from base 1 to 137 matches the Rfam family "Fungal signal recognition particle RNA", at positions 107 to 239 of the family's 293-position model. Lineage: Eukaryota; Fungi; Ascomycota; Eurotiomycetes; Onygenales; Ajellomycetaceae. The record is from RNAcentral.